RNAcentral lists this ribosomal RNA (1736 nucleotides) under Escherichia coli. RNAcentral describes it as "partial 23S ribosomal RNA". It matches the Rfam family "Bacterial large subunit ribosomal RNA", at positions 506 to 2227 of the family's 2925-position model. Lineage: Bacteria; Pseudomonadati; Pseudomonadota; Gammaproteobacteria; Enterobacterales; Enterobacteriaceae. The record is from RNAcentral.
AGGGAAAGGCGAAAAGAACCCCGGCGAGGGGAGUGAAAAAGAACCUGAAACCGUGUACGUACAAGCAGUGGGAGCACGCUUAGGCGUGUGACUGCGUACCUUUUGUAUAAUGGGUCAGCGACUUAUAUUCUGUAGCAAGGUUAACCGAAUAGGGGAGCCGAAGGGAAACCGAGUCUUAACUGGGCGUUAAGUUGCAGGGUAUAGACCCGAAACCCGGUGAUCUAGCCAUGGGCAGGUUGAAGGUUGGGUAACACUAACUGGAGGACCGAACCGACUAAUGUUGAAAAAUUAGCGGAUGACUUGUGGCUGGGGGUGAAAGGCCAAUCAAACCGGGAGAUAGCUGGUUCUCCCCGAAAGCUAUUUAGGUAGCGCCUCGUGAAUUCAUCUCCGGGGGUAGAGCACUGUUUCGGCAAGGGGGUCAUCCCGACUUACCAACCCGAUGCAAACUGCGAAUACCGGAGAAUGUUAUCACGGGAGACACACGGCGGGUGCUAACGUCCGUCGUGAAGAGGGAAACAACCCAGACCGCCAGCUAAGGUCCCAAAGUCAUGGUUAAGUGGGAAACGAUGUGGGAAGGCCCAGACAGCCAGGAUGUUGGCUUAGAAGCAGCCAUCAUUUAAAGAAAGCGUAAUAGCUCACUGGUCGAGUCGGCCUGCGCGGAAGAUGUAACGGGGCUAAACCAUGCACCGAAGCUGCGGCAGCGACGCUUAUGCGUUGUUGGGUAGGGGAGCGUUCUGUAAGCCUGUGAAGGUGUGCUGUGAGGCAUGCUGGAGGUAUCAGAAGUGCGAAUGCUGACAUAAGUAACGAUAAAGCGGGUGAAAAGCCCGCUCGCCGGAAGACCAAGGGUUCCUGUCCAACGUUAAUCGGGGCAGGGUGAGUCGACCCCUAAGGCGAGGCCGAAAGGCGUAGUCGAUGGGAAACAGGUUAAUAUUCCUGUACUUGGUGUUACUGCGAAGGGGGGACGGAGAAGGCUAUGUUGGCCGGGCGACGGUUGUCCCGGUUUAAGCGUGUAGGCUGGUUUUCCAGGCAAAUCCGGAAAAUCAAGGCUGAGGCGUGAUGACGAGGCACUACGGUGCUGAAGCAACAAAUGCCCUGCUUCCAGGAAAAGCCUCUAAGCAUCAGGUAACAUCAAAUCGUACCCCAAACCGACACAGGUGGUCAGGUAGAGAAUACCAAGGCGCUUGAGAGAACUCGGGUGAAGGAACUAGGCAAAAUGGUGCCGUAACUUCGGGAGAAGGCACGCUGAUAUGUAGGUGAAGUCCCUCGCGGAUGGAGCUGAAAUCAGUCGAAGAUACCAGCUGGCUGCAACUGUUUAUUAAAAACACAGCACUGUGCAAACACGAAAGUGGACGUAUACGGUGUGACGCCUGCCCGGUGCCGGAAGGUUAAUUGAUGGGGUCAGCGCAAGCGAAGCUCUUGAUCGAAGCCCCGGUAAACGGCGGCCGUAACUAUAACGGUCCUAAGGUAGCGAAAUUCCUUGUCGGGUAAGUUCCGACCUGCACGAAUGGCGUAAUGAUGGCCAGGCUGUCUCCACCCGAGACUCAGUGAAAUUGAACUCGCUGUGAAGAUGCAGUGUACCCGCGGCAAGACGGAAAGACCCCGUGAACCUUUACUAUAGCUUGACACUGAACAUUGAGCCUUGAUGUGUAGGAUAGGUGGGAGGCUUAGAAGUGUGGACGCCAGUCUGCAUGGAGCCGACCUUGAAAUACCACCCUUUAAUGUUUGAUGUUCUAACG